RNAcentral lists this transfer RNA (89 nucleotides) under Eustigmatophyceae sp. Chic 10/23 P-6w. Its description in RNAcentral is "tRNA-Ser". It matches the Rfam family "tRNA". Rfam says of the family: Transfer RNA (tRNA) molecules are approximately 80 nucleotides in length. Their secondary structure includes four short double-helical elements and three loops (D, anti-codon, and T loops). Further hydrogen bonds mediate the characteristic L-shaped molecular structure. tRNAs have two regions of fundamental functional importance: the anti-codon, which is responsible for specific mRNA codon recognition, and the 3' end, to which the tRNAs corresponding amino acid is attached (by aminoacyl-tRNA synthetases). tRNAs cope with the degeneracy of the genetic code in two manners: having more than one tRNA (with a specific anti-codon) for a particular amino acid; and 'wobble' base-pairing, i.e. permitting non-standard base-pairing at the 3rd anti-codon position. Lineage: Eukaryota; Eustigmatophyceae. The record is from RNAcentral.
GGAGGGAUGGCUGAGUGGUCGAAAGCGGCAGAUUGCUAAUCUGUUGUACAGAUUUUUUUGUACCGAGGGUUCGAAUCCCUCUCUCUCCU